This is a long non-coding RNA of Oryzias melastigma (Indian medaka), 466 nucleotides long. RefSeq lists it as uncharacterized. The record is from RefSeq and is a predicted model, not a curated record. Lineage: Eukaryota; Metazoa; Chordata; Actinopteri; Beloniformes; Adrianichthyidae. The transcript is spliced from 3 exons.
AGAACUGACAACCAGCUGGAGGUGACCAGAGUGGAGCGACAACAGGGGUUUUCUUUGAGCAUUUAGCCUCUGAUUGGUCAGAAGGGAUGGCAAAGUCAAUCUGUUGCUAUGAGAUGCUGACUUGUGUGCUGCUGGCUUGCUGUCUGUUGUCCUGGCAACACGAGGAGCAGGAGUGUUAGGUGUCUGGAACAGGCACUCACAUGGCGCUGGAGGGCAGAGAAGUGGAUGUCGGGGAUAAACAGGACCGGCUGGGUCUCGAGGUCGUUCAUCAUCUUGAAGAUGGUCACGUCGUUGCGCUUCUGGAGCAUGGGAACCUUCACAUCUGCAACUGAGAGGAAGAAGGAAGCAGGUCAACAAGUGAAAGCUCCACAAAAUACAGUAUAUCAUCACCCAUGGAGCUAUUGUAGGUUACCCGUAAAAUUAGCUGUAUGUGUUUUUAUUAGGCAAUAAAAGUGUUCUAUAAGGA